CGGGGCGUAGCUCAGCCUGGCUAGAGCGCAGCGUUCGGGACGCUGAGGUCGCAGGUUCAAAUCCUGUCGCCCCGA
This 75-nucleotide transfer RNA is filed under the name Phycisphaerae bacterium. Its description in RNAcentral is "tRNA-Pro". It matches the Rfam family "tRNA". From Rfam's summary of the family: Transfer RNA (tRNA) molecules are approximately 80 nucleotides in length. Their secondary structure includes four short double-helical elements and three loops (D, anti-codon, and T loops). Further hydrogen bonds mediate the characteristic L-shaped molecular structure. tRNAs have two regions of fundamental functional importance: the anti-codon, which is responsible for specific mRNA codon recognition, and the 3' end, to which the tRNAs corresponding amino acid is attached (by aminoacyl-tRNA synthetases). tRNAs cope with the degeneracy of the genetic code in two manners: having more than one tRNA (with a specific anti-codon) for a particular amino acid; and 'wobble' base-pairing, i.e. permitting non-standard base-pairing at the 3rd anti-codon position. RNAcentral also lists the same sequence under 4 other names. Lineage: Bacteria; Pseudomonadati; Planctomycetota; Phycisphaerae. The record is from RNAcentral.